GAGCGAGACUCCGUCUCAAAAAAAAAAAAAAAAAGAAAAAACUUGGCAAUGACAGCACCAGGGCCUUCUCUGACAGCAGCCUGGAUGGAGAGUGAAUUACCCGGGAAAUGCAGCAGAGGCCGGGGUAGAACGAGGGUGCCCAGGCAGGAGCCAGGGUGACCCCAUCUACUCUCCGGUCACUGGGGGCUGGGACAGUGGUGGCGUUGUCUUCAAAGCAAGGUGAGCUGGACGGAGGCUGGGAUCCUCAGGACUGGGCUGCUGGCCUCUGCACUGUCGGUAUGAGGGCCAACAUGAUUACAUGUUCUUCUCUUAGUUUGGUCACAUUAUUUUGAGUCAUGUCACUCUCACCUGAAACUACAGCUAACAAUAAACUGACCUGUUAUCCACACCUGACUGGCAACUUAGACUGGGUGAAAUGGAUUGUGUUUUCUGAUCCCUCCUGUCAUACAGCUCGUAUGGGCUACAGACAAAUAUGAAUGCAUUAUUAAUAAACCGGCAGACUGCGCAGGGGAGAGCGCAGAUGGCUGCAUAUGUUAAGAGCUGGAGGCAUUAAUUAUGAAGCAUCCUUAUCUUCUGGGGUUCACUCACGUCAUGACAGUACAAGUGUUUUCCUGGUAAAUCUACUGACAUUCUCCCUGCCAGGCUCAUCCCCUGUGCUGUGUGUGCCAGGAACAGCCCUUGGCCGAAUAAGGACAGACACAGGCCAGUGAGGGAGCCCCACCACGGCCACCUGAUCUUACAGAGGAGCAUGCGGCAACCCCCUGAGUUAGACACUGGGGAAAAGUGACGGAACUUCCUAUGCCUCCUCCGUGUGGCAGAGGCUUGAGACCCAGCCAGGAAGCGCUGGGAAGCCAACCCCCAGGAGAGUGACAUCGAACCGAGUUCUUAAAGAAUUCAUUGGGUUAAUUACAGGUUAAUUAGGGGAAGAGGAGAGGGACUGGAUUUGUGAAUUAUUUAUGUUCCGUAAGGAAGAAUGACGGGGAAAACAGUUGAAACAGCUUACAUCUCUACAUACCUGUUGGUUAUGAGCACGGACUGUUGGGUUUUUCCCUAUUAGUAAAAUAAAAUCAGUAAAUAUUUGACUAGA
This is a non-coding RNA of Macaca mulatta (Rhesus monkey), 1087 nucleotides long. NCBI's taxonomy places the organism in Eukaryota, Metazoa, Chordata, Mammalia, Primates, Cercopithecidae. The record is from RefSeq and is a predicted model, not a curated record.